GGCCGUAUAGCUCAGUGGAUAGAGCAGCUCACUGACUAAGGGCAGGUCAUGGGUUCAAAUCCCAUUACGGUCA
Molecule: transfer RNA, 73 nt
Filed under: Actinomycetota bacterium
Lineage: Bacteria; Bacillati; Actinomycetota
Description: Actinobacteria bacterium tRNA-Ser
Rfam family: tRNA
About the family: Transfer RNA (tRNA) molecules are approximately 80 nucleotides in length.
Source: RNAcentral